Molecule: unclassified non-coding RNA, 329 nt
Filed under: soil metagenome
Description: partial contains 5.8S ribosomal RNA, internal transcribed spacer 2, and large subunit ribosomal RNA
Rfam family: 5.8S ribosomal RNA (bases 1-120)
Source: RNAcentral
GAUGAAGAACGUAGCGAAAUGCGAUAAGUAAUGUGAAUUGCAGAAUUCAGUGAAUCAUCGAAUCUUUGGACGCACAUUGCGCCCUCUGGUAUUCCGGGGGGCAUGCCUGUUCGAGCGUCAUUAUAACCACUCAAGCUCUCGCUUGGUAUUGGGGUUCGCGGUUUCGCGGCCCCUAAAAUCAGUGGCGGUGCCUGUCGGCUCUACGCGUAGUAAUACUUCUCGCGAUUGAGUUCGAUAGGUCUACUUGCCAGUAACCCCCAAUUUUUACAGGUUGACCUCGGAUCAGGUAGGGAUACCCGCUGAACUUAAGCAUAUCAAUAAGCGGAGGA